GAUGAAGAACGUAGCGAAAUGCGAUAAGUAAUGUGAAUUGCAGAAUUCAGUGAAUCAUCGAAUCUUUGAACGCACAUUGCGCCCGCCAGUAUUCUGUCGGGCAUGCCUGUUCGAGCGUCAUUUCAACCAUCAAGCCCCCGGCUUGUGUUGGGGACCUGCGGCUGCCGCAGGCCCUGAAAAGCAGUGGCGGGCUCGCUGUCACACCGAGCGUAGUAGCAUACAUCUCGCUCUGGGCGUGCUGCGGGUUCCGGCCGUUAAACCACCUUCAUAACCCAAGGUUGACCUCGGAUCAGGUAGGAAGACCCGCUGAACUUAAGCAUAUCAAUAAGCGGAGGA
Molecule: unclassified non-coding RNA, 336 nt
Filed under: soil metagenome
Description: partial contains 5.8S ribosomal RNA, internal transcribed spacer 2, and large subunit ribosomal RNA
Rfam family: 5.8S ribosomal RNA (bases 1-120)
Source: RNAcentral